This is a long non-coding RNA of Trifolium pratense (red clover), 1474 nucleotides long. RefSeq lists it as uncharacterized. Lineage: Eukaryota; Viridiplantae; Streptophyta; Magnoliopsida; Fabales; Fabaceae. The transcript has 3 exons. The record is from RefSeq and is a predicted model, not a curated record.
ACUUUGAAGAUGAAACUGAUUUUGCAGAGAACUUGAAGCUUUCAUGGACCAUGGUAGAGAGUGAGGGGAUUCAUUCAAGCACAUGCAACAACAUUUUCAUCUGGGGUGCAAGACCUGGUCAUAAUUUUCCUAGCAGAUUUUCAUUCUGAUUACUCUUUCGGUGCUCGUCCUUGGCAGAUCUUGUGCUGAUUAAGGAAGUUCUUUGAUGAGCUUAUAGUAUUAUGUAUGUAGUUCCGAAUGGCGUAUUGGCUAGGUCUUUUGGUGGAAGCGUCAUGUCCAUGGUUCAAAUCUCAUACUCGGCACUCAAACUUGGGACAGUGGGAUAUGACUGGGCAUGAGCACCUGCCACCAAGCUGAUGUGACAUGGUUCAAAUCGUCUUGAUAUGACAGUCACUCCAAUCAAAGAAAAUAAGUCUUUAUAAAUGACACGCUAGGGAAAGUGUGACGAAUGUGUAGCUAUUAUCUUGUUGUGAAGGUUAGACAAGGUAUCAUUCUUAUGAAGGUCAGACAAGGUAUCAUUGAAUUAUGUGACUCGUUUUUGGAAUUUCAAUUUUAUUCAUAUAUAUGCCGUUUUAAAUUUUUUUUUUCUUUCUUUUUUCCAGUUUUGUUUUAUAUUCGUCACUUCAACACUUGAUUGAUACUAACAUAUUAUUUCAAUGUUAGCGAUAUAGAACUCUUUCAUAGUCGCUCAUGUAUCUAGUAACUUGGAUCUCUGCAUCACACUUGACUUUGUAAUUUUGAUGCAGAACAACUAUUUGAUGGCCUCCUAUGUCAUUGUAACGUAAUUCUAUCUGCUUGAAUGGUGUAUUUAUGAGACAUGCCUUUGAUAGUGCCGUCACGAUAUAUGCAUGGAAUUACAGGGUUGUGCAGUGCUGGAUGGCAUGGGCAUUAGGGGUCUCACCACAGAACUGUUAAUCAUGCUCUGAUCACAGAGUCAUAAUUCAUCAUCCAGAUUUAUGUUCCUGUCUCCUUAGAAAUCAAGGACACACGGUAGUACAAUCCUAUAGAACAGAUCUUGUUCAAGUAAGGUCAUGACUGUUGCUCUCCACGUUGGUUAUAUAAACACUUACUUUUUUUUGAGUUUUAACAGUGUGGGACUAAUUUCUAGUUUUGUUGUUGUAAUGUAACUACGCUUUCGGAUUUUAUAUAUACAAAAAUGCUUCUGACUCUUGUAGCCAUUCAAGUUUUUACGGUAACAAAUUUGGUUUGACUUUUCCCAUAAUCCUUUGAUGCUCUCUGUAGAUACAUUGAAUUCCUGGUUCCAUUCUAGCAAUAAUGUUUCCAAAUCAUGUUGUUUGUAGAUCAAUAGGAACUAAACAGACACUUUGAAAAGCCCCAAUAUUAUGCAUGAUACCAUCAACAUUCAACACAGCCAUUUCAAGAAAAGGAACCCGAUUAUUACAAAGAAAGGUUGCAACAUUACUAUGAUGCAUUAUAUUAUAACCCCUUUAUUAAUAUCUUAACAGUAUGUGUU